UACGUAGGGUGCAAGCGUUAAUCGGAAUUACUGGGCGUAAAGCGUGCGCAGGCGGUUAUGCAAGACAGAUGUGAAAUCCCCGGGCUUAACCUGGGAACUGCAUUUGUGACUGCAUGGCUGGAGUGCGGCAGAGGGGGAUGGAAUUCCGCGUGUAGCAGUGAAAUGCGUAGAUAUGCGGAGGAACACCGGUGGCGAAGGCGACAUCCUGGACCGGUAUUGACGCUGAGGCGCGAAAGCCAGGGGAGCAAACGGG
This 253-nucleotide ribosomal RNA is filed under the name uncultured bacterium. RNAcentral's name for it is "partial 16S ribosomal RNA". It matches the Rfam family "Bacterial small subunit ribosomal RNA", at positions 524 to 776 of the family's 1533-position model. The record is from RNAcentral.